RNAcentral lists this ribosomal RNA (468 nucleotides) under uncultured bacterium. RNAcentral describes it as "partial 16S ribosomal RNA". It matches the Rfam family "Bacterial small subunit ribosomal RNA", at positions 28 to 507 of the family's 1533-position model. The record is from RNAcentral.
GACGAACGCUGGCGGCGUGCUUAACACAUGCAAGUCGAACGGAAAGGCCCUGCUUUUGUGGGGUGCUCGAGUGGCGAACGGGUGAGUAACACGUGAGUAACCUGCCCUUGACUUUGGGAUAACUUCAGGAAACUGGGGCUAAUACCGGAUAGGAGCUCCUGCUGCAUGGUGGGGGUUGGAAAGUUUCGGCGGUUGGGGAUGGACUCGCGGCUUAUCAGCUUGUUGGUGGGGUAGUGGCUUACCAAGGCUUUGACGGGUAGCCGGCCUGAGAGGGUGACCGGCCACAUUGGGACUGAGAUACGGCCCAGACUCCUACGGGAGGCAGGAGGGGGGAAUAUUGCACAAUGGGCGGAAGCCUUAAGCAGCAACGCCGCGUGCGGGAUGACGGCCUUCGGGUUGGAAACCGCUUUCGCCUGUGACGAAGCGUGAGUGACGGUAAUGGGUAAAGAAGCACCGGCUAACUACGUG